GAUUAAGUGUCGUAAGGGCAUUUGGUGGAUGCCUUGGCAUGCACAGGCGAAGAAGGACGUGAUACGCUGCGAAAAGCCGUGGGGAGCUGCGAAUGAGCUUUGAUCCAUGGAUCUCCGAAUGGGGAAACCCACCUUAGAUACCUAGAAAAUCUGGUACGCCUCAGUGAUGAGGGAGUAGGAAUUAGGCAAUAGGCAUUAGGGUUUAGAUCCUAUUGGCUACUGCCUACUGGCUAUUGCCUCUGUAAAGGGGCGUUCGAGGUUUCUAGGUAUUGUUAAAAGGUAUCUAACCUUGAAUACAUAGGGGUUAGAAGCGAACGCAGGGAACUGAAACAUCUAAGUACCUGCAGGAAAGGACAUCAACCGAGACUCCGCAAGUAGUGGCGAGCGAACGCGGACCAGGCCAGUGGCAAUGAGGAAUAAAGCGGAACAGACUGGAAAGUCUGGCCAUAGUGGGUGACAGCCCCGUACGCGUAGAACACUCAUUGUCCUUGAGUAAGGCGGGACACGUGAAAUCCUGUCUGAACAUGGGGAGACCACUCUCCAAGCCUAAGUACUCGUGCAUGACCGAUAGCGAACAAGUACCGUGAGGGAAAGGUGAAAAGCACCCCGACAAGGGGAGUGAAAUAGAACCUGAAACCGGAUGCCUACAAACAGUAGGAGGCCGCAAGGCUGACUGCGUACCUUUUGUAUAAUGGGUCAACGACUUAGUGUAACUAGCAAGCUUAAGCCGGUAGGUGUAGGCGCAGCGAAAGCGAGUCUGAACAGGGCGAUUGAGUUAGUUGCAUUAGACCCGAAACCGAGUGAUCUAGCCAUGAGCAGGUUGAAGGUUGGGUAACACCAACUGGAGGACCGAACCCGCAUCUGUUGCAAUAGAUUGGGAUGACUUGUGGCUAGGGGUGAAAGGCCAAUCAAACUCGGAAAUAGCUGGUUCUCCGCGAAAUCUAUUUAGGUAGAGCGUCGACCGAAUACCCUCGGGGGGUAGAGCACUGGAUGGGCUAUGGGGACUCACCGUCUUACUGAUCCUAACCAAACUCCGAAUACCGAGGAGUACUAGUCGGCAGACACACGGCGGGUGCUAACGUCCGUCGUGAAAAGGGCAACAACCCUGACCUCCAGCUAAGGUCCCCAAGUCAUGGCUAAGUGGGAAAGGAUGUGAGGAUCCCAAAACAACCAGGAUGUUGGCUUAGAAGCAGCCAUCAUUUAAAGAAAGCGUAACAGCUCACUGGUCUAAAUAAGGGUCUUUGCGCCGAAAAUGUAACGGGGCUAAAGCCAUGCACCGAAGCUGAGGAUGUAUCGCAAGAUACGUGGUAGCGGAGCGUUCCGUAAGCCUGUGAAGGGGUACCUGUGAGGGGCCCUGGAGGUAUCGGAAGUGCGAAUGUUGACAUGAGUAACGAUAAAGAGGGUGAGAGACCCUCUCGCCGAAAGACCAAGGGUUCCUGCUUAAAGUUAAUCUGAGCAGGGUUAGCCGGCCCCUAAGGCGAGGCAGAAAUGCGUAGUCGAUGGGAACCACGUUAAUAUUCGUGGGCCUGGUGGUAGUGACGGAUUGCGUAACUUGUUCAUUCUUAUUGGAUUGAAUGGGCGAGGAAGCGGUUCCAGGAAAUAGCUCCACCGUAUAGACCGUACCCGAAACCGACACAGGUGGUCAGGUAGAGUAUACCAAGGCGCUUGAGAGAACUAUGUUGAAGGAACUCGGCAAAUUGCACGCGUAACUUCGGAAGAAGCGUGACCCCUUUUGACGCAAGUCAGAUGGGGUGGCACAGACCAGGGGGUAGCGACUGUUUAUCAAAAACACAGGGCUCUGCGAAGUCGCAAGACGACGUAUAGGGUCUGACGCCUGCCCGGUGCUGGAAGGUUAAGAGGAGAGGUGCAAGCUUUGAAUCGAAGCCCCAGUAAACGGCGGCCGUAACUAUAACGGUCCUAAGGUAGCGAAAUUCCUUGUCGGGUAAGUUCCGACCUGCACGAAUGGCGUAACGACUUCCCCGCUGUCUCCAACAUAGACUCAGUGAAAUUGAAUUCCCCGUGAAGAUGCGGGGUUCCUGCGGUCAGACGGAAAGACCCCGUGCACCUUUACUAUAGCUUUACACUGGCAUUCGUGUCGGCAUGUGUAGGAUAGGUGGUAGGCUUUGAAGCUUGGACGCCAGUUUGAGUGGAGCCAUCCUUGAAAUACCACCCUUAUCGUCAUGGAUGUCUAACCGCGAUCCGUCAUCCGGAUCCGGGACAGUGUAUGGUGGGUAGUUUGACUGGGGCGGUCGCCUCCGAAAGAGUAACGGAGGCGCGCGAUGGUGGGCUCAGACCGGUCGGAAAUCGGUCGUCGAGUGCAAUGGCAUAAGCCCGCCUGACUGCGAGACUGACAAGUCGAGCAGAGACGAAAGUCGGUCAUAGUGAUCCGGUGGUCCCGUGUGGAAGGGCCAUCGCUCAACGGAUAAAAGGUACGCCGGGGAUAACAGGCUGAUGACCCCAAGAGUCCAUAUCGACGGGGUUGUUUGGCACCUCGAUGUCGGCUCAUCGCAUCCUGGGGCUGGAGCAGGUCCCAAGGGUUUGGCUGUUCGCCAAUUAAAGCGGUACGUGAGCUGGGUUCAGAACGUCGUGAGACAGUUCGGUCCCUAUCUGCCGUGGGUGUAGGAAUAUUGACAGGAUCUGUCCCUAGUACGAGAGGACCGGGAUGGACAUAUCUCUGGUGGACCUGUUGUCCUGCCAAGGGCAUAGCAGGGUAGCUAUAUAUGGAAGGGAUAACCGCUGAAGGCAUCUAAGCGGGAAACCCACCUGAAAACGAGUAUUCCCUAUCAGAGCCGUGGAAGACGACCACGUUGAUAGGACGGGUGUGGAAGCGCAGCAAUGUGUGAAGCUUACCGUUACUAAUAGCUCGAUUGGCUUGAUCGUUCUCAUU
Molecule: ribosomal RNA, 2887 nt
Filed under: Peteryoungia desertarenae
Lineage: Bacteria; Pseudomonadati; Pseudomonadota; Alphaproteobacteria; Hyphomicrobiales; Rhizobiaceae
Description: 23S ribosomal RNA
Rfam family: Bacterial large subunit ribosomal RNA
Source: RNAcentral